Molecule: ribosomal RNA, 717 nt
Filed under: uncultured bacterium
Lineage: Bacteria
Description: bacterial SSU rRNA
Rfam family: Bacterial small subunit ribosomal RNA
Source: RNAcentral
ACGGGUGAGUAACACGUGGGUAACCUGCCCAUCAGAAGGGGAUAACACUUGGAAACAGGUGCUAAUACCGUAUAACACUAUUUUCCGCAUGGAAGAAAGUUGAAAGGCGCUUUUGCGCCACUGAUGGAUGGACCCGCGGUGCAUUAGCUAGUUGGUGAGGUAACGGCUCACCAAGGCCACGAUGCAUAGCCGACCUGAGAGGGUGAUCGGCCACACUGGGACUGAGACACGGCCCAGACUCCUACGGGAGGCAGCAGUAGGGAAUCUUCGGCAAUGGACGAAAGUCUGACCGAGCAACGCCGCGUGAGUGAAGAAGGUUUUCGGAUCGUAAAACUCUGUUGUUAGAGAAGAACAAGGAUGAGAGUAAAACGUUCAUCCCUUGACGGUAUCUAACCAGAAAGCCACGGCUAACUACGUGCCAGCAGCCGCGGUAAUACGUAGGUGGCAAGCGUUGUCCGGAUUUAUUGGGCGUAAAGCGAGCGCAGGCGGUUUCUUAAGUCUGAUGUGAAAGCCCCCGGCUCAACCGAGGAGGGUCAUUGGAAACUGGGAGACUUGAGUGCAGAAGAGGAGAGUGGAAUUCCAUGUGUAGCGGUGAAAUGCGUAGAUAUAUGGAGGAACACCAGUGGCGAAGGCGGCUCUCUGGUCUGUAACUGACGCUGAGGCUCGAAAGCGUGGGGAGCGAACAGGAUUAGAUACCCUGGUAGUCCACGCCGUAAA